UUUGAUCAUGGCUUAGGAUGAACGCUAGCGGGAGGCCUAACACAUGCAAGCCGAGCGGUAGAGAUUCUUCGGAAUCUUGAGAGCGGCGUACGGGUGCGGAACACGUGUGCAACCUACCUUUAUCUGGAGGAUAGCCUUUCGAAAGGAAGAUUAAUACUCCAUAAUAUAUUGAUUGGCAUCAAUUGAUAUUGAAAGCUCCGGCGGAUAGAGAUGGGCACGCGCAAGAUUAGUUAGUUGGUGAGGUAACGGCUCACCAAGACGAUGAUCUUUAGGGGCCUGAGAGGGUGAUCCCCCACACUGGUACUGAGACACGGACCAGACUCCUACGGGAGGCAGCAGUGAGGAAUAUUGGUCAAUGGGUGCAAGCCUGAACCAGCCAUCCCGCGUGAAGGACGACUGCCCUAUGGGUUGUAAACUUCUUUUGUAUAGGGAUAAACCUACCCUCGUGAGGGUAGCUGAAGGUACUAUACGAAUAAGCACCGGCUAACUCCGUG
Molecule: ribosomal RNA, 494 nt
Filed under: uncultured bacterium
Lineage: Bacteria
Description: bacterial SSU rRNA
Rfam family: Bacterial small subunit ribosomal RNA
Source: RNAcentral